This 205-nucleotide ribosomal RNA is filed under the name uncultured bacterium. RNAcentral describes it as "partial 16S ribosomal RNA". It matches the Rfam family "Bacterial small subunit ribosomal RNA", at positions 570 to 774 of the family's 1533-position model. The record is from RNAcentral.
CGUAGGCGGUCUGCUAAGUUGGAUGUGAAAACUCUGGGCUUAACCCAGAGCCUGCAUUCAAUACUGACAGGCUAGAGUUCUGGAGGGGAUAGCGGAAUUCCUGGUGUAGCGGUGAAAUGCGUAGAUAUCAGGAGGAACACCGGUGGCGAAGGCGGCUAUCUGGACAGAGUCUGACGCUGAGGCGCGAAAGCUAGGGGAGCAAACA